RNAcentral lists this ribosomal RNA (646 nucleotides) under uncultured archaeon. RNAcentral describes it as "bacterial SSU rRNA". It matches the Rfam family "Archaeal small subunit ribosomal RNA", at positions 1 to 650 of the family's 1478-position model. The record is from RNAcentral.
UUCCGGUUGAUCCUGCCGGAGGUUACUGCUAUCGGUGUUCGACUAAGCCAUGCGAGUCAAAUGUUCUUCGUGAACAUGGCGGACUGCUCAGUAACACGUGGAUAACCUGCCCUUAGGUUCGGCAUAACUCCGGGAAACUGGAGAUAAUUCCGAAUAGGUCAAAUAUGCUGGAAUGCUUUUUGGCCAAAAGACCUCGGUUGCCUAAGGAUGGAUCUGCGGUCUAUCAGGUUGUAGUGGGUGUAACGUACCUACUAGCCUACGACGGAUAUGGGUUGUGAGAGCAAGAGCCCAGAGAUGGAUUCUGAGACAUGAAUCCAGGCCCUACGGGGCGCAGCAGGCGCGAAAACUUUACAAUGCGGGAAACCGCGAUAAGGGGACACCGAGUGCCAGCAUUUAUGUUGGCUGUCCACAUGUGUAAACGGCAUGUGUUAGCAAGGGCCGGGCAAGACCGGUGCCAGCCGCCGCGGUAACACCGGCGGCCCGAGUGGUAAUCACUUUUAUUGGGUCUAAAGGGUCCGUAGCCGGUUUGAUCAGUUCUUCGGGAAAUCUGACAGCUCAACUGUUAGGCUUCCGGGGAAUACUGUCAGACUUGGGACGGGAGAGGUAAGAGGUACUACAGGGGUAGGAGUGAAAUCUUGUAAUCCCU